GGUUGUAGCUUAGUGGUAGAGUGCUUGACUAACACUUUUGAGGCACUGGGUUCAAUUCGCAGCACCA
Molecule: transfer RNA, 67 nt
Filed under: Marmota monax (woodchuck)
Lineage: Eukaryota; Metazoa; Chordata; Mammalia; Rodentia; Sciuridae
Description: tRNA.Val
Source: RNAcentral